GAUCCUGGCUCAGGAUGAACGCUGGCGGCGUGCAUAACACAUUCAAGUCGAACGGACUUUAUGGGAUUAAUUCUUCGGAAAGCGUCCUGUAAAGUUAGUGGCGGACGGGUAAGUAACGCGUGAGCAACCUGCCUUUGAUAGGGGGAUAACAGAGGGAAACUUCUGCUAAUACCGCAUGAAGCAUGGGGAUCGCAUGGUCUCGAUGCCAAAGGAGCAAUCCGAUCAAAGAUGGGCUCGCG
Molecule: ribosomal RNA, 239 nt
Filed under: uncultured bacterium
Lineage: Bacteria
Description: partial 16S ribosomal RNA
Rfam family: Bacterial small subunit ribosomal RNA
Source: RNAcentral